This 271-nucleotide ribosomal RNA is filed under the name uncultured prokaryote. RNAcentral's name for it is "partial 16S ribosomal RNA". It matches the Rfam family "Bacterial small subunit ribosomal RNA", at positions 524 to 794 of the family's 1533-position model. The record is from RNAcentral.
UACGUAGGGACGAGCGUUGUCCGGAAUUACUGGGCGUAAAGAGCUCGUAGGUGGUUUGUCGCGUCGUCUGUGAAAUUCCGGGGCUUAACUUCGGGCGUGCAGGCGAUACGGGCAAUACUUGAGUGCUGUAGGGGAGACUGGAAUUCCUGGUGUAGCGGUGGAAUGCGCAGAUAUCAGGAGGAACACCGAUGGCGAAGGCAGGUCUCUGGGCAGUAACUGACGCUCAUGCGCGAAAGCUGGGGUAGCGAACCGGAUUAGAUACCCGGGUAGU